GCUGAAUUGGCUCCAACACUGGGAAAACCCAGGCGACCUCAUAGGCAAGAGAAGACUGCAGAUUGCACUCAGGCAGAGACAAGGGGCUGUAGGUGGAAACUGUGCCCCCAAGCGCGUGGGCAGAGAGCACUUUCUGGCCCCUCCGCAGCCCGGGUGAGAAGACUGGCCUGAAACAAGCCUUCAACGUUUCCCAUACCUGCCUGUCCUCCAGCACCAGCAUCACCGCCCCCCCAGCACGACAAAGGAAAUGCAUCAAUGAACAGAAUAAAAUCCUCUCCAAAUGGAAGAUAGAAAUCAGAAUCUUGGAGGAUGGUUGCCUCGGCACCCUCUGGAGAAGUAGCUGGCACACACCCAACUAGAAACAAGGUAACGUGACAGUGACAGAGCAAUUUCAUGAAGAGG
Molecule: long non-coding RNA, 402 nt
Filed under: Ictidomys tridecemlineatus (thirteen-lined ground squirrel)
Lineage: Eukaryota; Metazoa; Chordata; Mammalia; Rodentia; Sciuridae
Description: lncRNA (ENSSTOG00000031758.1)
Source: RNAcentral